ACUGCUCAGUAACACGUGGAUAACCUGCCCUUGGGUCUGGGAUAACCCCGGGAAACUGGGGAUAAUACCGGAUAACGCAUAUAUGCUGGAAUGCUUUAUGCGUAAAAUGGAUUCGUCUGCCCAAGGAUGGGUCUGCGGCCUAUCAGGUAGUAGUGGGUGUAAUGUACCUACUAGCCUACAACGGGUACGGGUUGUGAGAGCAAGAGCCCGGAGAUGGAUUCUGAGACAUGAAUCCAGGCCCUACGGGGCGCAGCAGGCGCGAAAACUUUACAAUGCGGGAAACCGUGAUAAGGGGACACCGAGUGCCAGCAUCAUAUGCUGGCUGUCCAGAUGUGUAAAAUACAUCUGUUAGCAAGGGCCGGGCAAGACCGGUGCCAGCCGCCGCGGUAACACCGGCGGCCCGAGUGGUGAUCGUGAUUAUUGGGUCUAAAGGGUCCGUAGCCGGUUUGGUCAGUCCUCCGGGAAAUCUGAUGGCUCAACCAUUAGGCUUUCGGGGGAUACUGCCAGGCUUGGAACCGGGAGAGGUAAGAGGUACUACAGGGGUAGGAGUGAAAUCUUGUAAUCCCUGUGAGACCACCUGUGGCGAAGGCGUCUUACCAGAACGGGUUCGACGGUGAGGGACGAAAGCUGGGGGCACGAACCGGAUUAGAUACCCGGGUAGUCCCAGCCGUAAACGAUGCUCGCUAGGUGUCAGGCAUGGCGCGACCGUGUCUGGUGCCGCAGGGAAGCCGUGAAGCGAGCCACCUGGGAAGUACGGCCGCAAGGCUGAAACUUAAAGGAAUUGGCGGGGGAGCAC
RNAcentral lists this ribosomal RNA (796 nucleotides) under uncultured Methanosarcinaceae archaeon. RNAcentral's name for it is "bacterial SSU rRNA". It matches the Rfam family "Archaeal small subunit ribosomal RNA", at positions 85 to 879 of the family's 1478-position model. Lineage: Archaea; Methanobacteriati; Methanobacteriota; Methanomicrobia; Methanosarcinales; Methanosarcinaceae. The record is from RNAcentral.